GACGAACGCUGGCGGCGUGCCUAAUACAUGCAAGUAGAACGCUGAAGGAGGAGCUUGCUUCUCUGGAUGAGUUGCGAACGGGUGAGUAACGCGUAGGUAACCUGCCUGGUAGCGGGGGAUAACUAUUGGAAACGAUAGCUAAUACCGCAUAACAGCAAAUGUUGCAUGACAUUUGCUUAAAAGGUGCAAUUGCAUCACUACCAGAUGGACCUGCGUUGUAUUAGCUAGUUGGUGGGGUAACGGCUCACCAAGGCGACGAUACAUAGCCGACCUGAGAGGGUGAUCGGCCACACUGGGACUGAGACACGGCCCAGACUCCUACGGGAGGCAGCAGUAGGGAAUCUUCGGCAAUGGACGGAAGUCUGACCGAGCAACGCCGCGUGAGUGAAGAAGGUUUUCGGAUCGUAAAGCUCUGUUGUAAGAGAAGAACGAGUGUGAGAGUGGAAAGUUCACACUGUGACGGUAUCUUACCAGAAAGGGACGGCUAACUACGUGCCAGCAGCCGCGGUAAUACGUAGGUCCCGAGCGUUGUCCGGAUUUAUUGGGCGUAAAGCGAGCGCAGGCGGUUAGAUAAGUCUGAAGUUAAAGGCUGUGGCUUAACCAUAGUACGCUUUGGAAACUGUUUAACUUGAGUGCAAGAGGGGAGAGUGGAAUUCCAUGUGUAGCGGUGAAAUGCGUAGAUAUAUGGAGGAACACCGGUGGCGAAAGCGGCUCUCUGGCUUGUAACUGACGCUGAGGCUCGAAAGCGUGGGGAGCAAACAGG
Molecule: ribosomal RNA, 763 nt
Filed under: uncultured Streptococcus sp.
Lineage: Bacteria; Bacillati; Bacillota; Bacilli; Lactobacillales; Streptococcaceae
Description: bacterial SSU rRNA
Rfam family: Bacterial small subunit ribosomal RNA
Source: RNAcentral